CCAUCUCGAACACGGAAGUUAAGCACUCUUACGUCGAUGGUACUACAAUUAUGUGGGAGAGUAGAUAGUUGCCGGGC
This 77-nucleotide ribosomal RNA is filed under the name Spirochaetaceae bacterium. The record is from RNAcentral. Lineage: Bacteria; Pseudomonadati; Spirochaetota; Spirochaetia; Spirochaetales; Spirochaetaceae.